UGCGUAGGCGGAUCAAUAAGUCAGUGGUGAAAUCUCUCGGCUCAACCGGGGAACUGCCAUUGAUACUGUUGAUCUUGAGUUCGGUUGAGGUAGGCGGAAUGUGUAAUGUAGCGGUGAAAUGCUUAGAUAUUACACAGAACACCAAUUGCGUAGGCAGCUUACUAGACCGACACUGACGCUGAGGCACGAAAGCGUGGGGAGCGAACAGGAUUAGAUACCCUGGUAGUCC
This 229-nucleotide ribosomal RNA is filed under the name uncultured bacterium. RNAcentral's name for it is "partial 16S ribosomal RNA". It matches the Rfam family "Bacterial small subunit ribosomal RNA", at positions 568 to 796 of the family's 1533-position model. The record is from RNAcentral.